Molecule: ribosomal RNA, 301 nt
Filed under: uncultured bacterium
Lineage: Bacteria
Description: partial 16S ribosomal RNA
Rfam family: Bacterial small subunit ribosomal RNA
Source: RNAcentral
CAGUCGCCGCGGGAAUACGUAGGUGGCAAGCGUUGUCCGGAAUUAUUGGGCGUAAAGGGCUCGCAGGCGGUCUCUUAAGUCUGAUGUGAAAGCCCCCGGCUCAACCGGGGAGGGUCAUUGGAAACUGGGAAACUUGAGUGCAGAAGAGGAGAGUGGAAUUCCACGUGUAGCGGUGAAAUGCGUAGAGAUGUGGAGGAACACCAGUGGCGAAGGCGACUCUCUGGUCUGUAACUGACGCUGAGGAGCGAAAGCGUGGGGAGCGAACAGGAUUAGAUACCCGAGUAGUCCCUGUCUCUUAUAU